GAGGGUUUGUGCAAGCUCUCUGGGCGGCGACGCUAGCCACGGAGCUGGCCUCCCUCCCUUCCGUCAGCUGCAAUAUACUACAAGCACUGGGCUACAGCUGCAGCUAGCCCAUGGGUACCGGGGACCAUGACAUCAAUGAGCUGGCUUUCACCUUGUCCAAGGCAGCAGCGGAACACUACGGGCGGGACCCUGGAUCACUGCACCGUGGAUGCCGUUCUGUACCCUGCACGGCACUGCGUGUGGCUUAAGUGGCCAAGCAGAGGGUCAUUGCAUGACUUUUAUGAGGCGCCGCUAGCCAUUGCUUCAAACCGCCCUGAAUCGUGGAUCAAGCCUUGCAAGAUGGAAGUUCUCUUUAGGCCCAGCGCCUUUUGUUGGAUCAAGUCUUGUACGCCAUUCCCUCGUGUCUUUCAUAUAGUAAAUUGUUGGUAUUUCUUUUA
RNAcentral lists this unclassified non-coding RNA (437 nucleotides) under Ixodes scapularis (black-legged tick). RNAcentral's name for it is "uncharacterized LOC115315264, transcript variant X1". Lineage: Eukaryota; Metazoa; Arthropoda; Arachnida; Ixodida; Ixodidae. The record is from RNAcentral.